AGAGUUUGAUCCUGGCUCAGAUUGAACGCUGGCGGCAGGCCUAACACAUGCAAGUCGAGCGGUAGCACAGAGAGCUUGCUCUCGGGUGACGAGCGGCGGACGGGUGAGUAAUGUCUGGGAAACUGCCUGAUGGAGGGGGAUAACUACUGGAAACGGUAGCUAAUACCGCAUAAUGUCGCAAGACCAAAGUGGGGGACCUUCGGGCCUCAUGCCAUCAGAUGUGCCCAGAUGGGAUUAGCUAGUAGGUGGGGUAACGGCUCACCUAGGCGACGAUCCCUAGCUGGUCUGAGAGGAUGACCAGCCACACUGGAACUGAGACACGGUCCAGACUCCUACGGGAGGCAGCAGUGGGGAAUAUUGCACAAUGGGCGCAAGCCUGAUGCAGCCAUGCCGCGUGUGUGAAGAAGGCCUUCGGGUUGUAAAGCACUUUCAGCGGGGAGGAAGGCGUUAAGGUUAAUAACCUUGGCGAUUGACGUUACCCGCAGAAGAAGCACCGGCUAACUCCGUGCCAGCAGCCGCGGUAAUACGGAGGGUGCAAGCGUUAAUCGGAAUUACUGGGCGUAAAGCGCACGCAGGCGGUCUGUCAAGUCGGAUGUGAAAUCCCCGGGCUCAACCUGGGAACUGCAUUCGAAACUGGCAGGCUAGAGUCUUGUAGAGGGGGGUAGAAUUCCAGGUGUAGCGGUGAAAUGCGUAGAGAUCUGGAGGAAUACCGGUGGCGAAGGCGGCCCCCUGGACAAAGACUGACGCUCAGGUGCGAAAGCGUGGGGAGCAAACAGGAUUAGAUACCCUGGUAGUCCACGCCGUAAACGAUGUCGAUUUGGAGGUUGUGCCCUUGAGGCGUGGCUUCCGGAGCUAACGCGUUAAAUCGACCGCCUGGGGAGUACGGCCGCAAGGUUAAAACUCAAAUGAAUUGACGGGGGCCCGCACAAGCGGUGGAGCAUGUGGUUUAAUUCGAUGCAACGCGAAGAACCUUACCUGUCUUGACAUCCACAGAACUUUCCAGAGAUGGAUUGGUGCCUUCGGGAACUGUGAGACAGGUGCUGCAUGGCUGUCGUCAGCUCGUGUUGUGAAAUGUUGGGUUAAGUCCCGCAACGAGCGCAACCCUUAUCCUUUGUUGCCAGCGGUCCGGCCGGGAACUCAAAGGAGACUGCCAGUGAUAAACUGGAGGAAGGUGGGGAUGACGUCAAGUCAUCAUGGCCCUUACGACCAGGGCUACACACGUGCUACAAUGGCAUAUACAAAGAGAAGCGACCUCGCGAGAGCAAGCGGACCUCAUAAAGUAUGUCGUAGUCCGGAUUGGAGUCUGCAACUCGACUCCAUGAAGUCGGAAUCGCUAGUAAUCGUAGAUCAGAAUGCUACGGUGAAUACGUUCCCGGGCCUUGUACACACCGCCCGUCACACCAUGGGAGUGGGUUGCAAA
RNAcentral lists this ribosomal RNA (1420 nucleotides) under uncultured bacterium. RNAcentral describes it as "bacterial SSU rRNA". It matches the Rfam family "Bacterial small subunit ribosomal RNA". The record is from RNAcentral.